UGGCGGCGGCGGCAGCUGCUCCUCUGACGGCGGGGGAGGGACCCCGGGGGCAGCUCAGAGCGCGGCUGGUGCUCGGGUGGCGGAGGGAGAAAGAAGGGAAGGGAGGCUGUGAGUUAACGGCGGCUCGCAGGGAGGGAGAGAGGGGGAGGGAGGAAGGCGGAGGGAUAUUCGGGCCGGACCUCUCCGCGGCGGCACCGCGCUACAUGUCGAUUGGCUGCCGCUGUGGCCACGCGGAAUCCCCAAUUGGCCAGGCGGUUAGCGUUGAAGGGCCGCCCUGCGCCCAUUCGCUCGCUGGUUUCAAGGCCCGGGGUUGGCUGGGCGGGCAGCAGGAUGGGGGUGCGGAUUGGCCGAGGGGCGGGAGAUUGGGGUGAGGCCGGCCAGAGUCUGCCGCUGAUUGGAUUGGCCUGGUAAAGGCCGUGAGCUGAGGCUGUAGGAGCGCUGGGAGGAGGGUGGACAGAAGGAAGCUGCUUUAAUCGCUAGGCCUACUUGGUACCAGGCUUUCGGCUGGGAAGGACCUUGAAGACCAUGCGGUUCAACUUCCAAUUUGCAGAUGUGGAAACUGAAGCCGAGAGAGGGAAACGUCUGGAGGAUGUGGUACACCAAAACAAGAAUAAAUCAAGAAACAGGAAGACGUGAUCCUGGAAACAGGAUAUUCAACAGAGACGACGACCUGAGUUCCAGAGAGUGCCUUGCCGAAGGUCGCACAAGUCAGCGUUGGAGCCUCUAGCAGAACUCAGGUCUCCUGACACCCAGUGACGUAUUAAAAUACUUUUUUAAAAACUGUGGUUAAAAAAAAUUACCAUCAACCAUUUUUAAGUGUAUAGUUCAGUAGUGUUAAGUAUAGUCACAUGGUUGUGUAACAAAUCUCUAGAACUUACUCAUCUUGCAAAACUGAAACUUUAUAUCCAUUGAACAACUCUCUACUUUCUUCCCCUCACCCCUGCCCCUGGCAACCACCAUUCCACUUUCUGUCUCUAUGAAUUUGAGUGCUCUAGAUACCUUCUGUAAGUGGAAUCACACAGUAUGUGUCUUUUUGUGAUUGGCUCGUUUUACUUAGCAUAUGUCCUCGAGGUUGAUACAUUUCCUCCCUUAAGGCUGAACAGGAUUACAUUGUAGCACAUUUUGUUGAUCCGUUCUUCCAUCAACGGACACUUAGGUUGCUUCCACCUUUUAGCUAUCACGAAUAAUGCUGCUCUGAGCAUGGGUAUACACGUAUCUCUCUGAGAUGUUGCUUUCAGUGCUUUUGGAUAUAUACUUGGAAGUGCGAUUCCAGUAAUGCAUUUUUUAAGUUCUCCAUCUCAUUCCAAAAAUGAUUUGAGGCCACUGUCCCAGCACCUUCAUAAGUAUUAAAAAAAAAAAAAAAGUUCUGAAUUUAAUGAAUGAACAAAGGGGUCAGAAUGGAACAGAGGAGACAACAGAAAGGAGUGGCCUAUGAGAAGUCUGGUAGAAUAAAGCUUUUUACCUUUACCCUCGGGAAAUAGCUGCAAAUAAUUAAGAUCCACCAGAGAUGGACUGGAGUGGCCAAGGCUUGUUUUCUCAUCUACAUAAAGGUCUCCAAAGCAUUCCCAAAGUUGCAUUCAAACAGAGUAAGCCCUGUGCAUAUGAAAGGGUCACAAAGGAGGGAUUCGGUAUUCAUGAUACGUGGUCUGUACAGGGGUGGGUGCACAAACUCAGAUAUUCUGGGCCUGUCAUGGGACCUUCAUAAAGGAUCUAGUCAGAGUGGGGACUGUGGUAGAGUGUGCUGGUCAUAAGUCUGUACUCAGCUCCAGACAUUGAUGUCAGAUCUUACGAUUUUUCAAGAAAAACUAGAUACACCUGAAACUAACACAACAUUAUAAGUCAACUAUACUCCAAUAAAAUUUUUUUUAAAAAAAGAAAAGCUGGAAAUCUGGAUUUCUGUGUGAAAUACCAUGAUUUUUUAAAGCUGGCAUUUAAAUUUUCAAAAAGAUUUAAAAGGCAUUGUGUAAAUCAAAGACAAAAUACAAGUUUGCAACCUCUGGUGUGUGGUACUGUGGAGCAUUUAUGGUAGGUAGUGAGCUCUGGGGAAGAAUUGUGUCUGGUUUGUUUGGCCAGGGCUGGGAAGAGGUUAAUGGGGCCUAAAUCAAAUGCCUGCAUCUGCACAAGCUCUGCCCUUCUGUCCUUGGGUAAAGUUUAAUGUGUUGCAGGCAGAGAGGAAAUGGCCUAAAAUGAACCAUUAAGUUCUCCUGGUAGCAUAUCUGCCGGUCAGACAGGAGAGGAGGGCCCCCAAUUUCGCAUCAUUUCUGUGAGAUUCGUUUGUGCCUACUUUACAGAACCGCUGUAGAAUAAAACACAGAUUUGGAAAGGUGUUGAAUUUCUCCUAAAAUGUAAUGCAGGUGCUAACUGGGAUAAUUAUCUUGCUGUGAAGAGCUCAGAAGAGUGUAAUGUUUUGGGAACAGCUUCUACAAAAGCUGACCUAGGAGAUGCUGGGCCCCAGCUGUGGCUGGAAGAAAUGAAGGGGAAAGAAUGUGUUAGCCAUUGUGCUCUGGUGGGUUUGAGAAGGAGGCAGAACACUGAUCUUUCCUGGAAGUGGCAUUGAAGAGUCAGUGCGGAGUUGAGAAAUACGUGUGGCCAUAAAUGGCAUGACCCUGCUCCAAACAGCUCAGCUCAGCUCAUGCCUGGCUUCGUGAACCUCACACUGGAAGUUUCAACUGAAAUAAACUUCUGACCUUUCCAUCAGUUCCUUUCAGUCAGAGUUUUAUAUGUUAUAGACUAUUUCAGGGACUUCCCUGGCGGUCCAGUAGUUAAGACUCCUCACUUCCACUGCAGGGGGCACGGGUUUGAUCCCUGGUCGGGGAACUAAGACCCUGCAAGCUGCAUGGCACGGUCAGAAAGAAAAAAAAAAAAAAUUUCAUAUUCCCACUUAGGAGAUUUGAACUGUUACUUCUGUUACUUAAGAAAGCAGCACUGCUUAUGACUACUACUGCUAUCAUAAUGUUAGUCAUAUUCCUAUCAUGCUUUAUAACUUACAGGACCUUUCACUUGCACUCUUCUCAUUUUGUUUCCUGGUAACUCUGAGAUUAUUAUUUCUCACUUUACAGAUAAGGAAACUGAUGGUUUCCCAUUGUCCUUUAGCUAAAGUUUAGAAUCUUCAGCGUGACCUAAGUCCCUCCCUAGUCUGGGCCUUGCCUACCUCUCCAGAUCCCUCUUUCACCACCUUCCCAAGACCUCUCUUUGUUCCAGCUAUUCUGGGUUUCUUUUGAGUUCCUUAAGUAGGUCAGGUUCUCUCCAGCCAUAGGCCUUGUGUUGCAUGUGCCGUUUCUCCCACAUAGGACACUUUUCCCUGUCCUCUUUGCCUGGCUAGCAACUACUCAUCUUUUGGGUCUCAGUUUAACACCAUUUCUUCACGGGAGCCUUUCCUGAACAUUGAGGCUAUGUUGGACUCCGCAGUAAUAUCCUCUUAUACCCCCCGGCACUUCCCAUUCCAAAGACUCAUCACACUUCAAGUUACUCAUUCAAUAAUUCUUGUUCCUGCUGGACUGUAAGCUCCAUGAGGCAGAAACCAAAUCUGCCUUAAUUGAUUCUGUAGUCUCAGUGCGUCGUAUAAUAUACUUUCAUUCUGAAAGCUUUUGUAAUGAGUCUGCUAUCUGGAUUCCAUUGCCAUGGAACUAAUGCAUCAAAACCUUGCCUUCAAGUCCAGUGCUGUGGGGCUUUUCUGACAGGCUUCUUCUGAUAUUUCAAUAACCAACAUCCUUUGAUGAGUGACCAAAAUGCACACCUCCCACAUCUAAUAGCAGGUUGUAAAGUUAGAACACAGUGACACUGUAUUCUUUAUUAAUGACUAGAAAAGGCUGGUGCUGUUCUCACCUCUUCUGUUGUUUCUGUGAUGCUCACAUACCAAUGAGAACCUUUGUCCAGCAUCCUUUUGGAGCAGUCAAGGGUGGAUCACAGAUGACAGGGACAUUAACAGCUAUUCAUGGCUUCCCUGGUGGUGCAGUGGUUAAGAAUCCACCUGCCAAUGCAGGGGACACGGGUUUGAGCCC
Delphinapterus leucas (beluga whale) is the source of this 4001-nucleotide non-coding RNA. The record is from RefSeq and is a predicted model, not a curated record. Lineage: Eukaryota; Metazoa; Chordata; Mammalia; Artiodactyla; Monodontidae.